CAGUAGCCACGGUAAUACGAGGGGGGCAAGCGUUGUUCGGAAUUAUUGGGCGUAAAGGGUGCGUAGGCGGCUUGACAAGUCUUGUGUGAAAUCUAUGGGCUCAACCCAUAGUCUGCACGGGAAACUGUCGGGCUUGAGAAUGGGAGAGGUGAGUGGAAUUUCCGGUGUAGCGGUGAAAUGCGUAGAUAUCGGAAGGAACACCUGUGGCGAAAGCGGCUCACUGGACCAUUUCUGACGCUGAUGCACGAAAGCUAGGGGAGCAAACAGGAUUAGAUACCCCCGUAGUCCCUGUCUCUUAUAC
This 301-nucleotide ribosomal RNA is filed under the name uncultured bacterium. RNAcentral describes it as "partial 16S ribosomal RNA". It matches the Rfam family "Bacterial small subunit ribosomal RNA", at positions 509 to 807 of the family's 1533-position model. The record is from RNAcentral.